Pezoporus flaviventris is the source of this 416-nucleotide long non-coding RNA. RefSeq lists it as uncharacterized. NCBI's taxonomy places the organism in Eukaryota, Metazoa, Chordata, Aves, Psittaciformes, Psittacidae. The transcript is spliced from 2 exons. The record is from RefSeq and is a predicted model, not a curated record.
UUUAAAACGCUUCUUAAUCAAAAUGGAAAUUUAUUAAGAGCAUUUGAUGUAUAUGCCCACUGGUAAAUAUAUUACAGUUGCUCUGCUUCCAUGUUCAUAUAGUUGUUUAUUCAGCUCUUCAAGAACUCCUGAGUUUAAAAUAAAUCCAUUUGUAACUGUGGCAAAUUACAAUUCUUUCUCAAAUUCUGUUUACUGAAUUAUGACAUUAUCAGAAGUCCACACACUAGGUAGAAAGUCUUACUUAAGGUGACUGGAGUCAGUGAACAAAUGUAAGAGUUACUGUUAUUUAAAUUUUCAUGUUGCUUGAAUAACUGGAAAUGUUUUGCCUGAUCAUGAUUUUAUGUAAGGAAAGUCAUUGUAAUACCAGUGAAUUCCACAUUCAAAUAGAUACAUUAUUAUCUUCUUUUGACUGUCAA